UAAGGAAUAUUGGACAAUGGAGGCAACUCUGAUCCAGCCAUGCCGCGUGAAGGAAUAAGGCCCUAUGGGUUGUAAACUUCUUUUAGACGGGACAAAACCCCUUUACGUGUAAAGGGUUGAUGGUACUGUCAGAAUAAGCAUCGGCUAACUUCGUGCCAGCAGCCGCGGUAAUACGAAGGAUGCAAGCGUUAUCCGGAAUUAUUGGGUUUAAAGGGUGCGUAGGCGGACUAAUAAGUCAGUGGUGAAAGCCUGCAGCUUAACUGCAGAAUUGCCAUUGAUACUGGUAGUCUUGAGUACAGUUGAGGUAGGCGGAAUGUGUCAUGUAGCGGUGAAAUGCUUAGGCAUGACACAGAACACCGAUUGCGAAGGCAGCUUGCUAAGCUGUAACUGACGCUGAGGCACGAAAGCGUGGGGAGCAAACA
This 422-nucleotide ribosomal RNA is filed under the name uncultured bacterium. RNAcentral's name for it is "bacterial SSU rRNA". It matches the Rfam family "Bacterial small subunit ribosomal RNA", at positions 355 to 774 of the family's 1533-position model. The record is from RNAcentral.